Molecule: ribosomal RNA, 726 nt
Filed under: uncultured bacterium
Lineage: Bacteria
Description: bacterial SSU rRNA
Rfam family: Bacterial small subunit ribosomal RNA
Source: RNAcentral
ACAGGAUUAGAUACCCUGGUAGUCCACGCCGUAAACGAUGUCGACUUGGAGGCUGUUUCCUUGAGAAGUGGCUUCCGGAGCUAACGCGUUAAGUCGACCGCCUGGGGAGUACGGCCGCAAGGUUAAAACUCAAAUGAAUUGACGGGGGCCCGCACAAGCGGUGGAGCAUGUGGUUUAAUUCGAUGCAACGCGAAGAACCUUACCUACUCUUGACAUCCACGGAAUUUGGCAGAGAUGCCUUAGUGCCUUCGGGAACCGUGAGACAGGUGCUGCAUGGCUGUCGUCAGCUCGUGUUGUGAAAUGUUGGGUUAAGUCCCGCAACGAGCGCAACCCUUAUCCUUUGUUGCCAGCGAUUCGGUCGGGAACUCAAAGGAGACUGCCGGUGAUAAACCGGAGGAAGGUGGGGAUGACGUCAAGUCAUCAUGGCCCUUACGAGUAGGGCUACACACGUGCUACAAUGGCGCAUACAAAGAGAAGCGACCUCGCGAGAGCAAGCGGACCUCAUAAAGUGCGUCGUAGUCCGGAUCGGAGUCUGCAACUCGACUCCGUGAAGUCGGAAUCGCUAGUAAUCGUGGAUCAGAAUGCCACGGUGAAUACGUUCCCGGGCCUUGUACACACCGCCCGUCACACCAUGGGAGUGGGUUGCAAAAGAAGUAGGUAGCUUAACCUUCGGGAGGGCGCUUACCACUUUGUGAUUCAUGACUGGGGUGAAGUCGUAACCAAGGU